RNAcentral lists this transfer RNA (88 nucleotides) under Burkholderia cenocepacia. RNAcentral describes it as "tRNA-Ser". It matches the Rfam family "tRNA". Rfam says of the family: Transfer RNA (tRNA) molecules are approximately 80 nucleotides in length. Lineage: Bacteria; Pseudomonadati; Pseudomonadota; Betaproteobacteria; Burkholderiales; Burkholderiaceae. The record is from RNAcentral.
GGAGGUGUGGCAGAGUGGUCUAUUGCACUGGCUUUGAACCCCAGCGACGGGAAACCGCCCAAGAGUUCGAAUCUCUUCGCCUCCGCCA